AUUGAACGCUGGCGGCAUGCCUUACACAUGCAAGUCGAACGGCAGCACGGGCUUCGGUCUGGUGGCGAGUGGCGAACGGGUGAGUAAUAUAUCGGAACAUACCCUAGAGUGGGGGAUAACGUAGCGAAAGUUACGCUAAUACCGCAUACGAACUAAGGUUGAAAGUGGGGGAUCGCAAGACCUCAUGCUCAUGGAGUGGCCGAUAUCUGAUUAGCUAGUUGGUGAGGUAAAGGCUCACCAAGGCGACGAUCAGUAGCUGGUUUGAGAGAACGACCAGCCACACUGGAACUGAGACACGGUCCAGACUCCUACGGAGGCAGCAGUGGGGAAUUUUGGACAAUGGGCGCAAGCCUGAUCCAGCAAUGCCGCGUGAGUGAAGAAGGCC
This 385-nucleotide ribosomal RNA is filed under the name uncultured bacterium. RNAcentral's name for it is "bacterial SSU rRNA". It matches the Rfam family "Bacterial small subunit ribosomal RNA", at positions 30 to 416 of the family's 1533-position model. The record is from RNAcentral.